This is a long non-coding RNA of Lampris incognitus (smalleye Pacific opah), 792 nucleotides long. RefSeq lists it as uncharacterized. Lineage: Eukaryota; Metazoa; Chordata; Actinopteri; Lampriformes; Lampridae. The record is from RefSeq and is a predicted model, not a curated record. The transcript is spliced from 3 exons.
AAAGAAUGCCACGGAGAGGUUGUGUCGAGCGACAGCGCUGUGUCCUUACGUGAUUUCUAAACUUAAUAGGGGGGGGGGAUAAUGUAACGAACACGGCAGCGUGGAACUCUGGGAGCUUUUGCGUCAGUCAACCAGGAUUGGUGUGUGGUAGUGAGGAGACACGAUGAUUGGAUAAAGCCACUCCCGCGCCGAAGAACGAGAAGGCAGACCACACAGCAACAAGUAGCAAGGACACCACCCUUCGAGAAGAGGAAAUCGCGGAUACAUCGUGUGGAUGAGAGGCACGGUGCCUAAUGAUAGCAUGUAUGGGGGAAACUCCCGGUGAGAGGGUCAAUGACAGAUGAGGCCUGUGGAGGAAGCCAGUGGGCGGAAGAGUACCGUCGGGUGACACCACGCGGAGGCUCCGGGAGGGAAGCGUGGGACGUAAACUGUCAGUCACGUGGAGAAGACUGUACGGCGUGCUGCAGGGUGGCCGCUAGCAACCAGCUACCCAGCCUGUUUGGGUGGACUCCGACGGUUUUGAAGAAGGAGAGAUGAUCCCAAAACAGAUUAAAAUUGUCAAUAAAACCAACAUUGUGAGCAGGCUGAGGAUUCUGCUGAAGCGCCCUGCUCCACGGGCCAGUGCCGGAAUAGGACCGGAAAUAAAAACACUUUCACACAAGUAUUUAAAAAGCUGAAAAGGUCAAUAAAAUCCUUUUUGGCUAGUUCAGACUGCUGACGAGCUGCAUUAGGGUCCAACGAUGUCGUAUACUGUUGUAUCUUGUACUGAUUCCAAAGCCAUUUGGGACUACA